GCGGAAGUAGCUCAUUUGGUAGAGCGAUAGCCUUCCAAGCUAUAGGUGGCGGGUUCGAGCCCGUCUUCCGCU
RNAcentral lists this transfer RNA (72 nucleotides) under Bacteroidota bacterium. RNAcentral's name for it is "Bacteroidetes bacterium tRNA-Gly". It matches the Rfam family "tRNA". From Rfam's summary of the family: Transfer RNA (tRNA) molecules are approximately 80 nucleotides in length. The record is from RNAcentral. Lineage: Bacteria; Pseudomonadati; Bacteroidota.